UCCCCGAUAGCUCAAUCGGCAGAGCGGGUGACUGUUAAUCACUAGGUUGGCGGUUCAAGUCCGUCCCGGGGAGCCA
Molecule: transfer RNA, 76 nt
Filed under: Candidatus Mailhella merdavium
Lineage: Bacteria; Pseudomonadati; Thermodesulfobacteriota; Desulfovibrionia; Desulfovibrionales; Desulfovibrionaceae
Description: tRNA-Asn
Rfam family: tRNA
About the family: Transfer RNA (tRNA) molecules are approximately 80 nucleotides in length. Their secondary structure includes four short double-helical elements and three loops (D, anti-codon, and T loops).
Source: RNAcentral